UACGAAGGGGGCUAGCGUUGCUCGGAAUUACUGGGCGUAAAGCGUGCGCAGGCGGUUCGUUGUGUCGGUGGUGAAAGCCCCGGGCUUAACCUGGGAAUGGCCAUGGAAACUGGCGAACUGGAGUGUGGCAGAGGGGGGUGGAAUUCCGCGUGUAGCAGUGAAAUGCGUAGAGAUGCGGAGGAACACCGAUGGCGAAGGCAGCCCCCUGGGCUAGCACUGACGCUCAGGCACGAAAGCGUGGGGAGCAAACAGG
RNAcentral lists this ribosomal RNA (253 nucleotides) under uncultured bacterium. RNAcentral's name for it is "partial 16S ribosomal RNA". It matches the Rfam family "Bacterial small subunit ribosomal RNA", at positions 524 to 776 of the family's 1533-position model. The record is from RNAcentral.